UUUUUUUUUUUUCCUUUUUUUUUUUUUUUGGGUUUUUAUUUGGAAUCUUUUGGUGUAUUAAGUGGGUAUUAUAUGAGCUGAUUGCCUGAUUUACAGGUUCGAGAGAGGGGAAAGAAAUGAGGGAAAUUGGGAUUUUGUUUUGAUAAAAGUUUAGCAAAUUUCUUGAUUACGUUUUUUUUUUGUUAUUUUCUUGGGUUCUUUAUUUAUUAUUUUUUUUGGUGCAAACCCUAGUUUAUGUGGGCUGUGAGUUGGGGAAUUUUACUGUCAUUCGGUUGCUUAUAUGUUGGAUACGUGGAAUAAAGGGUC
RNAcentral lists this unclassified non-coding RNA (306 nucleotides) under Hevea brasiliensis (rubber tree). The record is from RNAcentral. Lineage: Eukaryota; Viridiplantae; Streptophyta; Magnoliopsida; Malpighiales; Euphorbiaceae.